CUCAUCGAUCCUUGGCAAAGGGUA
RNAcentral lists this non-coding RNA (24 nucleotides) under Arabidopsis thaliana (thale cress). Lineage: Eukaryota; Viridiplantae; Streptophyta; Magnoliopsida; Brassicales; Brassicaceae. The record is from RNAcentral.